GACGAACGCUGGCGGCGUGCUUAACACAUGCAAGUCGAGCGGAGCGGCGAACGGGUGAGUAACGCGUGAGUAACUGCCCCCCUCCCUGGGAUAACAGUUGGAAACGGCUGCUAAUACCUGAUAGUGGGGGAUGACUCGCGUCCUAUCAGCUUGUCGGGGGGGUAGUGGCCUACCAAGGCGACGAAGGGUAGCCGGCCUGGGAGGGGGACCGGCCACAUUGGGCUGAGAGACGGCCCAAACUCCUACGGGAGGCAGCAGUGGGGAAUAUUGCACAAUGGGGGAAACCCUAAUGCAGAAACGCCGCGUGCGGGAUGACGGCCUUCGGGGUGUAAACCGCUUUCAGCCAUGACGCGGUAGUGGCAGAAGAAGCACCGGCUAACUCCGUGCCAGCAGCCGCGGUAAUUC
This 405-nucleotide ribosomal RNA is filed under the name uncultured bacterium. RNAcentral describes it as "partial 16S ribosomal RNA". It matches the Rfam family "Bacterial small subunit ribosomal RNA", at positions 28 to 526 of the family's 1533-position model. The record is from RNAcentral.